GGGGGUAGAGGAUGUAGCUCAGUGGUAGAGUGCAUGCUUAGCAUGCAUGAGGUCCUGGGUUCAAUCCCCAGUACCUCCA
This 79-nucleotide transfer RNA is filed under the name Vicugna pacos (alpaca). RNAcentral describes it as "tRNA-Ala (AGC) (tRNA-Ala-AGC-209-1)". It matches the Rfam family "tRNA". From Rfam's summary of the family: Transfer RNA (tRNA) molecules are approximately 80 nucleotides in length. Their secondary structure includes four short double-helical elements and three loops (D, anti-codon, and T loops). The record is from RNAcentral. Lineage: Eukaryota; Metazoa; Chordata; Mammalia; Artiodactyla; Camelidae.